AGGCUGCAACCCGCCUGCAUGAAGUCGGAAUUGCUAGUAAUCGCGGAUCAGCAUGCUGCGGUGAAUACGUUCCCGGGCCUUGUACACACCGCCCGUCACACCAUGGGAGUCGGUAACACCCGAAGUCGGUAGUCUAACCGAAAGGAGGACGCCGCCGAAGGUGGGAUUGAUGACUGGGGUGAAGUCGUAACAAGGUAGC
RNAcentral lists this ribosomal RNA (199 nucleotides) under uncultured bacterium. Its description in RNAcentral is "partial 16S ribosomal RNA". It matches the Rfam family "Bacterial small subunit ribosomal RNA", at positions 1302 to 1500 of the family's 1533-position model. The record is from RNAcentral.